This 1327-nucleotide ribosomal RNA is filed under the name uncultured organism. RNAcentral describes it as "16S ribosomal RNA". It matches the Rfam family "Bacterial small subunit ribosomal RNA", at positions 123 to 1488 of the family's 1533-position model. The record is from RNAcentral.
AAUCUACCUUUUAGUGGGGAAUAGCCUUUUGAAAAAAAGGAUAAUACCGCAUAUGUCGCUUCGGCGAUAAAGACUUUGUCGCUAAGAGAGGAGCCUGCGUCCUAUCAGGUCGUUGGUGGGGUAAUGGCCCACCAAGCCAAUAACAGGUAACCGGUGUGAGAGCACGACCGGUCACAAGGUCACUGAAAUACGGGGCCUACACCUACGGGUGGCAGCAACCAGGAAUAUUGCGCAAUGGACGAAAGUCUGACGCAGCGACACCGCGUGUGGGAAGACGCUUUUCGGAGUGUAAACCACUGUGGCAAGGGAAGAAUUGUCGACGGUACCUUGCUAGAAAGCUACGUGAUAACUACGUGCCAGAAGCCUCGGUAAUACGUAGGGUGCAAGCGUUAUCCGGAUUUACUGGGCGUAAAGGUUUCGUCGGCGUCUUUAUAAGUUCUUUGGUUUAAGCCUGGGGCUUAACCCCAGAACAGCAAAGAAUACUGUAAAGAUUGAGUAUAUUCGGGGGAAUUAGAAUUCUCAGUGGAGGGGUGAAAUCCGUAGAGAUUGAGAAGAAUACCGUACGCGAAGGCAGAUUCCUAGAAUAUCACUGACGCUCAGGAACGAAAGCUUGGGUAGCAAAAGGGAUUAGAGACCCCUGUAGUCCAAGCCGUAAACAUUCCUCGCUAGCUGCCUUUUCUUUAAGAAAGGGUGGCGUAAGCUAACGCGUUAAGCGGGGCGCCUGGGAAUUACAGCCGCAAGGCUAAAACUCAAAGGAAUUGACGGGGGAGCGUACAACCGGUGGAGCAUGUGGUUUAAUUCGAUACAAAGCGAAGAACCUUACCUGGGUUUGACAUGCACCUGCAUGUUCUGUGAAAACAGAAUUCUUUCGAAGGUGGUGCACAGGUGAUGCAUGGCUGUCAUCAGCUCGUGUCGUGAGACGUCCGCUUAAGUGCGGUAACGAGCGCAACCCUUAUUGUCAGUUAUAGAUGUCUGACAAAACUGCCCUGCUACUAGCAGGGAGGAAGGAGAGGACGACGUCAAGUCAGCAUGUCCCUUAUAUCCAGGGCUACACACAUCCUACAAUGGGACUGACAACGGGCAGCAACGGGGUAACCCUAAGCUAAUCCCAAUAAACAGUCUCUCAGUUCAGAUUGAAGGCUGCAACUCGCCUUCAUGAAGUCGGAAUCGGUAGUAAUCGCAAAUCAGCAGGUUGUGGUGAAUACGUUCUCGCUCCUUGUACACACUGCCCGUCAAGCCAGCAAAGUCAGCAGUACCCGAAGCGGGUGACCAUAACUAUUUAUAGAAUGGCCCCUCUACGGUAAGGUUGGCGAUGAGGACUAAGUCG